CUGGCUCAGAAUCAACGCUGGCGGCGUGCCUAACACAUGCAAGUCGAACGCGGUUAGUAGCAAUACUAACUGAGUGGCGAACGGGUGAGUAACACGUGGGUGACCUACCUUCGAGUGGGGGAUAACGUCCCGAAAGGGACGCUAAUACCGCAUAACAUCCUGCCUUUGAACAGGCGGUGAUCAAAGCCGGGGACCGUAAGGCCCGGCGCUUGAUGAGGGGCUCGCGUCUGAUUAGCUAGUUGGUGAGGUAACGGCCCACCAAGGCGACGAUCAGUAUCCGGCCUGAGAGGGCGGACGGACACACUGGGACUGAGACACGGCCCAGACUCCUACGGGAGGCAGCAGUGGGGAAUUGUUCACAAUGGGCGCAAGCCUGAUGACGCAACGCCGCGUGGAGGAUGAAGGUCUUCGGAUUGUAAACUCCUGUUGCCCGGGACGAAAAGCUUCGACCUAA
This 454-nucleotide ribosomal RNA is filed under the name uncultured Acidobacteriota bacterium. RNAcentral describes it as "bacterial SSU rRNA". It matches the Rfam family "Bacterial small subunit ribosomal RNA", at positions 19 to 463 of the family's 1533-position model. The record is from RNAcentral. Lineage: Bacteria; Pseudomonadati; Acidobacteriota.